Molecule: small RNA, 35 nt
Filed under: Arabidopsis thaliana (thale cress)
Lineage: Eukaryota; Viridiplantae; Streptophyta; Magnoliopsida; Brassicales; Brassicaceae
Description: ATSL058590
Source: RNAcentral
CUUCUCACAGUUUCUGCAUUGUUCAUCAAAGGAUA